This is an RNA transcript of Lycium barbarum (goji berry), 2470 nucleotides long. RefSeq lists it as uncharacterized. NCBI's taxonomy places the organism in Eukaryota, Viridiplantae, Streptophyta, Magnoliopsida, Solanales, Solanaceae. The record is from RefSeq and is a predicted model, not a curated record. The transcript has 9 exons.
ACCUUCAAAAUCAAUCCAGAAACUUCUCAACCCACUUCAGCUGCUUUCACUUCUAAAGGAUAGAAAAAAAAUCAAGAAGCUUCUCAUCAAUUUAUACCACCAAAAAUAUAGUAUAAUUUUGCUCAAGCUGGUGCUGCAAUUUUCAGAUAUCAGGUAUUAAUUUUUGAACUGUUCUAAUUUGAGCAUCGUUUCUUCUUUUGAUAGCAUCUUUUAAAGUUUCUUCGAGCUUCUUCGCGAUUUUUUGAAGCUUCUUCAACUUUCUAAUGUAAUAAAACGAAAUUAUGAAAAAGAAAUGAUAGGGUACUUACAGUUACAGGUGAAGAGUUCGUUGGAUUAAUUUCUGAAGAAAAGAAAGUUUUAGGGCAGAAAGGAGAUAAAGUAUAAAUAUAAAUAAAUCCAGCAGCUCCAAAAAGAAGAGAAAAAACUGCAAUAGUAGAUAUAGAGUUCUUGGUCUAUAUAUCCAUUUUCAUUUCUUUGGGAAUAUUGUUAGUUUAGUGGAUUUUGAAUCUUUCGCAAAAGUCCAAUUUUUUUGGGGUUUUGCCUUUUUGUUGUUGAUACAGGAGAUUUGGGGGUGUGGUAGGUGAGGAAAUUUUUUCUUCUAUUUUGUUUUGUUUUGUUUUAUCUCUUGGACUUAGGAAGGUCAUGUAAUGGAAAUGAAGUGGGAAAGAUAAAAGGAACUAAGAGCCUGUUUGGAAAGCCGCCCAGGUAAUUAUAAUUGGGUAUAAUUACAUAGUUUGGCCUAUUUUUUUUUUACUAAAUAAUUAUACAGUUAGGUGGAAAUUGAGUUUAAUUAAGAGGGUGUAAUUACACUCUUUAAUACUCAAGGGGUGGUUGAGAAUUGGGUGUGAUUACACCAUGUAAUUAUAGGGUUAAUAAGACAACACCGUUUUGCUAAAGAUAUAAGUUUCCACUAUCGCAUGAUUUACAUUACUCAAAAAAGAUUAUUAAACCUUAGAAGCUCAAGAAUGAUCCUUACCGAACACAUUAACUAUUUAGACACAGACAAGUUAAUGAAGUUUUUUUACUUGUGGCUAACACGAUUGGCUAUCACCCCUUUUGAGGCUAUUGAGCAUCAAAUGAAAGAUUUUGAAUUUGGUAACUAAAAACCUUCAAUAUCUCAUUUGCAAAUUCACACUCUAUUUUUUACUUAUUCAUUUAUUGUUUUUUUUAUCUAAUGAUGUCCUUGGACUACUUAUUAAUGUUGGACUUGCAAGUAACGCAUCAAAUGGGAAGAAAUUCCAGGAAUUCAUCAUUAUGGAUACUCAAAAAAGGCCUAAAAAGCUAACACUUUGGGAGGACUCUGUCGAACAUUAUGGAAAUGAACUUUUAGAGAAAGUGAAACACUAUCCCGUCUUCCUGGCUAGAAGAGUGGUAAAAUCAUCAUCAGGGAUAUGGAGCAGAUACAACACAACAAUACUCUUACAUCCCACAUAUCCACAAGCUACCACAUUAGCUGCAUGGGCCAAAACAAUUCAACGACAACUCAUUGAGUACACAGCUAGAAGCAUGUCCCCAGAAGGCACUCUUCUUUUUGUUCCCUUUGAAGAAGAAUCAGUAUUCAUAUCUGAUAUCCAAAUGCAGCCACAGGGACAAAUAUUCUAUAUUGACGGUCAACUUUCACUGAUAAAUGAAGACCAACAUUUCUGCUCCAUGGCGUGCUCAGAUUGUAAAUUGCCAUUUUUAAGAACUACUACACCAAGGCCAAUCUACUGCAUCCAGUGCGAAAGAUCCACCCAACUUAUUCCCAGAAUCCAAUUUGAAGUUAUGGUCAUGGAUCACACUGGUAGCACAGUAGCCUCCAUCUCAGAUCAAUCAACAACGAAGAUGUUGAACCUCACUGUACAAGAGAUUUAUGACAUCUGCCAUGCACAGCGCUACUUCUUGACAAUGCACAUAAAUAAUUGGGACGAAAGACUUUUCAGAAUCCAAAUGAAAAGAUUAUUUUCCAAAAAUCAAGAUAGGUUAGCUAUCAUGAAUUAUGAGGAAAAAGAACAUACAAACCAACCAUCACCAACUGCACCAAUGACCAGCACUGCUGAAACAAGCAAGCGCAAGGCUAUGGAGAUUAGCUUCGACCGAACAAAUCAGCAGAACCUGCCCAAAGACAAACCUUCCAGCACUAGACAGAAAACAGAAACCAAGACUCCUCUCAAAAGGGAGUGAAAGCUACUAGAAAUGUUUUGCCAACAAGUUUUUGGAGCACAUCUUUUUUUGCCAAUGGAAUGUCAAGCUACUAUCUUUUUGCCACAAGACUGCCUUUUUGAAAAGCUACAUUACAACUAUAUGUGACGCCCCCUGCUUUAAAAAGGUAUUUUGUCAACCAUGGCGUUACACAACUACAACAUGCUGGAUUACUACUAAGAAAAUGCUUUUUCUGUAAAUAUGUAGUAUAAAUGAUGUAUAUAUGACAGUGCAAUCAUCAAUGUAAUAGACAAAUGUAUAUAUGCAUAAACAGUGGAAACUUAUUUUA